GUUGAACGCUGGCGGCGUGCUUAACACAUGCAAGUCGAACGGAAAGGCUCCUGCUUGCAGGGGCACUCGAGUGGCGAACGGGUGAGUAACACGUGGGAGAUCUGCCCUGCACUUCGGGAUAAGCCUGGGAAACUGGGUCCAAUACCGGAUAGGUCCAUCGUAUAGCGUGGGUGAUGGAAAGAUUGUUCGGUGUGGGAUGAGUUCGCGGCCUAUCAGCUUGUUGGUGAGGUAUUGUCAGACCAAGGCGUCGACGGGUAGCCGGCCUGAGAGGGUGUACGGCCACAUGGGGACUAAGAUACGGACCAGACUCCUACGGGAGGCAGCAGGGGAGAAUAUGGCACAAUGGGCGCAAGCGUGAUGCAGCGGCGCCGCGUGGGGGAUGACGGCCUUCGGGUUGUAAACUCCUUUCGCCAGGGACGAAGCGAAAGUGACGGUACCUGGAUAGGAAGCACCGGCUAACUACGUG
RNAcentral lists this ribosomal RNA (466 nucleotides) under uncultured bacterium. Its description in RNAcentral is "partial 16S ribosomal RNA". It matches the Rfam family "Bacterial small subunit ribosomal RNA", at positions 28 to 507 of the family's 1533-position model. The record is from RNAcentral.